RNAcentral lists this ribosomal RNA (434 nucleotides) under uncultured Porphyromonadaceae bacterium. Its description in RNAcentral is "bacterial SSU rRNA". It matches the Rfam family "Bacterial small subunit ribosomal RNA", at positions 349 to 782 of the family's 1533-position model. Lineage: Bacteria; Pseudomonadati; Bacteroidota; Bacteroidia; Bacteroidales; Porphyromonadaceae. The record is from RNAcentral.
CAGCAGUGAGGAAUAUUGGUCAAUGGGCGAGAGCCUGAACCAGCCAAGUCGCGUGAGGGAGUACUGCCCUAUGGGUUGUAAACCUCUUUUGUCGGGGAGCAAAAGCCGGACGUGUCCGGCUGUGAGAGUACCCGAAGAAAAAGCAUCGGCUAACUCCGUGCCAGCAGCCGCGGUAAUACGGAGGAUGCGAGCGUUAUCCGGAUUUAUUGGGUUUAAAGGGUGCGCAGGCGGAUUUUUAAGUCAGCGGUCAAAUCGUGGGGCUCAACCCCAUCCAGCCGUUGAAACUGGGGAUCUAGAGUGUGCGAGAGGUAUGCGGAAUGCGUGGUGUAGCGGUGAAAUGCAUAGAUAUCACGCAGAACCCCGAUUGCGAAGGCAGCAUACCGGUGCACAACUGACGCUCAGGCACGAAAGCGUGGGUAUCGAACAGGAUUAGA